GGGCUUGUGGCGUAGUGGUAUCGCGUUCGCUUCGCAUGUGAAAGGUCCUCGGUUCAAUCCCGGGCAAGUCCA
This 72-nucleotide transfer RNA is filed under the name Candidatus Bathyarchaeota archaeon. RNAcentral's name for it is "tRNA-Ala". It matches the Rfam family "tRNA". From Rfam's summary of the family: Transfer RNA (tRNA) molecules are approximately 80 nucleotides in length. Their secondary structure includes four short double-helical elements and three loops (D, anti-codon, and T loops). Lineage: Archaea; Thermoproteati; Candidatus Bathyarchaeota. The record is from RNAcentral.